Molecule: ribosomal RNA, 899 nt
Filed under: Beauveria bassiana
Lineage: Eukaryota; Fungi; Ascomycota; Sordariomycetes; Hypocreales; Cordycipitaceae
Description: partial large subunit ribosomal RNA
Rfam family: Eukaryotic large subunit ribosomal RNA
Source: RNAcentral
UACAGAGUAGAGAACAGGGAUUGCCCCAGUAACGGCGAGUGAAGCGGCAACAGCUCAAAUUUGAAAUCUGGCUCUCAGGGCCCGAGUUGUAAUUUGUAGAGGAUGCUUUUGGCGAGGUGCCUUCCGAGUUCCCUGGAACGGGACGCCACAGAGGGUGAGAGCCCCGUAUGGUCGGACACCGAGCCUCUGUAAAGCUCCUUCGACGAGUCGAGUAGUUUGGGAAUGCUGCUCAAAAUGGGAGGUAUAUGUCUUCUAAAGCUAAAUAUUGGCCAGAGACCGAUAGCGCACAAGUAGAGUGAUCGAAAGAUGAAAAGCACUUUGAAAAGAGGGUUAAAAAGUACGUGAAAUUGUUGAAAGGGAAGCGCCUAUGACCAGACUUGCGCCCGGUGAAUCACCCAGCGUUCUCGCUGGUGCACUUUGCCGGGCACAGGCCAGCAUCAGUUCAGCGCGGGGGAGAAAGGCUUCGGGAAUGUGGCUCCCUCGGGAGUGUUAUAGCCCGCUGCGUAAUGCCCUGCGCCGGACUGAGGUACGCGCAUUGCAAGGAUGCUGGCGUAAUGGUCAUCAGCGACCCGUCUUGAAACACGGACCAAGGAGUCGUCUUCGUAUGCGAGUGUUCGGGUGUCAAACCCCUACGCGUAAUGAAAGUGAACGCAGGUGAGAGCUUCGGCGCAUCACCGACCGAUCCUGAUGUUCUCGGAUGGAUUUGAGUAAGAGCAUACGGGGCCGGACCCGAAAGAAGGUGAACUAUGCCUGUAUAGGGUGAAGCCAGAGGAAACUCUGGUGGAGGCUCGCAGCGGUUCUGACGUGCGAAUCGAUCGUCAAAUAUGGGCAUGGGGGCGAAAGACUAAUCGAACCUUCUAGUAGCUGGUUUCCGCCGAAUUUCCCCCCUCAGGAAAGUA